CGCAAGGGGAAUGCCUUGGCACUGAGAGCCGAUGAAGGACGCGACAAGCUGCGAUAAGCUACGGGGAGCCGCAAAUGGGCUUUGAUCCGUAGAUUUCCGAAUGGGGAAACCCGGCAGAGCAAUACUCUGUCAACGUACACUGAAUACAUAGGUGUACGUGGGGAACCGCCUGAACUGAAACAUCUAAGUAGGGCGAGGAAGAGAAAUCAACCGAGAUUCCGCUAGUAGUGGCGAGCGAACGCGGAAGAGGCCAAACCGAAGGUAGCAAUAUCUUCGGGGUUAGGACUGCAAUAUGUAACUUUAAUCUUUAACUGAAUGCUUUGGGAAGAGCAGCGACACAGGGUGAUAGCCCCGUAAGUGAAAGAGAUUGAGUGCUAGCAGUAUCCAGAGUACCAGCGGACACGUGAAACCCGCUGGGAAGAUGGGGGGACCAUCCUCCAAGCCUAAAUACUACUCAGUGACCGAUAGUGGAGCAGUACCGUGAGGGAAAGGUGAAAAGUACCCCGGGAGGGGAGUGAAAGAGAACCUGAAACCUUGUGCCUACAAGCACCGAGAGCACGUUAAAGUGUGAUCGGGUACUUUUUGUAGAACGGUCCGGCGAGUUAAUAUUUGCAGCGAGGUUAAGUAACUGGAGUUACGGAGCCGCAGCGAGAGCGAGUCUGAAUAGGGCGUAUGAAGUUGCAGGUAUUAGACCCGAAACCGGGUGACCUAUCCAUGAGCAGGCUGAAGCGGUGGUAAGACACCGUGGAGGGCCGCACCCACGUCUGUUGAAAAAGCCGGGGAUGACUUGUGGAUAGCGGAGAAAUUCCAAUCGAACUCGGAGAUAGCUGGUUCUCCCCGAAAUAGCUUUAGGGCUAGCGUUAUUUUAGAUUACCGGAGGUAAAGCACUGAAUGGUCUAGGGGCCGCGAGGUUACCAAAGCCUAUCAAACUCUGAAUGCCGGAUAAUUGAUGAAUAGCAGUCAGACUGUGUGAGAUAAGUCUCAUAGUCAAAAGGGAAACAGCCCAGAUCUACAGCUAAGGUCCCAAAUGAACACUAAGUGGAAAAUGAUGUGAAACUGCGAAGACAACCAGGAUGUUGGCUUAGAAGCAGCCACUCAUUCAAAGAGUGCGUAAUAGCUCACUGGUCGAGUGGUUUUGCGCAGAAAAUGUAACGGGGCUAAGUGUUCAACCGAAGCUUAGGCAUUGUAGUAAUGCAUUGGGUAGGGGAGCGUCGUAUGCGGGGCGAAGUCAGAGCGGAAGCACUGGUGGACUGCAUACGAGUGAGAAUGCCGGAAUAAGUAGCGAGAAUUAUGUGAGAAUCAUAAUGGCCGAAAAUCUAAGGUUUCCUGGGGAAGGUUCGUCCGCCCAGGGUUAGUCGGGAGCUAAGCUCAGGCCGAAAGGCGUAGGCGAUGCACAUACGGUAGAAAUUCCGUAACCACCGAACUUUAAGCUAGAGGGACGCUUUCUUUAAGGUUAUCCCGGGCGAUGGUUGCCCCGGGCGUAAGGGACCGAAAUUUAGUAGGGAAGUAACUGGCGAGAGAGACGAGAAAAGCUCUAGUGUAUACUAAGGUGCCCGUACCGCAAACCGACACAGGUAGAAGGGAUGAGUAUUCUAAGGCCAACGGGAGAAGGGUUGUUAAGGAACUCGGCAAAUUGACCCCGUAACUUCGGGAUAAGGGGCGCCUGCGAGAGCAGGCCGCAGUGAAAAGGCCCAAGCGACUGUUUAGCAAAAACACAGCUCUCUGCUAAAUCGAAAGAUGACGUAUAGGGGGUGACGCCUGCCCGGUGCUGGAAGGUUAAGGGGAGUGCUUAGCGCAAGCGAAGGUGCGAACUUAAGCCCCAGUAAACGGCGGCCGUAACUAUAACGGUCCUAAGGUAGCGAAAUUCCUUGUCAGGUAAGUUCUGACCCGC
This 1891-nucleotide ribosomal RNA is filed under the name human gut metagenome. RNAcentral describes it as "bacterial LSU rRNA". It matches the Rfam family "Bacterial large subunit ribosomal RNA", at positions 18 to 1991 of the family's 2925-position model. The record is from RNAcentral.